RNAcentral lists this ribosomal RNA (253 nucleotides) under uncultured bacterium. Its description in RNAcentral is "partial 16S ribosomal RNA". It matches the Rfam family "Bacterial small subunit ribosomal RNA", at positions 524 to 776 of the family's 1533-position model. The record is from RNAcentral.
UACGAAGGGGGCUAGCGUUGUUCGGAAUUACUGGGCGUAAAGCGCACGUAGGCGGAUCGAUCAGUCAGGGGUGAAAUCCCAGGGCUCAACCCUGGAACUGCCUUUGAUACUGUCGAUCUGGAGUAUGGAAGAGGUGAGUGGAAUUCCGAGUGUAGAGGUGAAAUUCGUAGAUAUUCGGAGGAACACCAGUGGCGAAGGCGGCUCACUGGUCCAUUACUGACGCUGAGGUGCGAAAGCGUGGGGAGCAAUCAGG